ACUAGUAUAAUUUAAUUGUGCUUUGUUUUUUCAUUGGUUUUCAGAUGGCGUAAGAACACAUCACUGGAUUACUUUUGAAAGACAAAACUAGAUAAAAUUGUAUAUUUAUAAAUAUUACCACUAUAUAUUUCAGACUAUUGUUCGAUUGAUGGUAAAAAAAAAUGUUUAUUGAUCAUUGAGCAGACGUAAAGCAGGAAAUUGCGGGAACAAUCCUAGCAGACGACAGUAGUCGCGCAGAUGCAAUCAUGCACCAUAUCAGACUGCCCGAAAUUACAGGCUGGCCUAGCUCUAUACCGGACUCGCUUUCAGCAGGAAGCAGACGACAAUGAAUUUUAAAGUGGAAAUUUGCGACUUCAGGUGUGUCUGCUACUCGAUGUUGUGAUUUCAGUUAUUUCCCCUGACGUUCAGUAUAAUGAAAUGAGGGUCGAGUUUCAGGAUUUGAAAUUAGAAAAGAACGAAAGAUAUGAAAUGAGCACUGGCAAACUGAUCUUGGCAUGUUACAUCCUUAUCACAGAACUGGAACCUACUGAUUAAGAUGAGGUAGCAGACGACGAUAAAUUUGAAAGUGGAAAUUUGCAACUUCCGGUGUGUCUGCUACUCGAUGUUGUGACCUGACGUUCAGUAUAAGAAAUGAGUGUCGAGUUUCAGGAUUUGAAAUUAGGAACGAACGAAAGAUGUGAAAUGAGCACCGGCAAACUGAUCUUGGCAUGUUACAUCCUUAUCACAGAACUGGAACCUACUGAUUAAGAUGAGUGUAUCCACAGGUAGCAGACGACAAUAAAUUUUAAAGUGGAAAUUUGCAACUUCCGGUGUGUCUGCUACUCGAUGUUGUGUUCUCAGUUACUUCCCCUGACGUUCAGUAUAUGAAAUGAGG
Long non-coding RNA from Ruditapes philippinarum (Manila clam), 874 nucleotides. RefSeq lists it as uncharacterized. The record is from RefSeq and is a predicted model, not a curated record. NCBI's taxonomy places the organism in Eukaryota, Metazoa, Mollusca, Bivalvia, Venerida, Veneridae. The transcript is spliced from 6 exons.